GAUGAACGCUAGCUACAGGCUUAACACAUGCAAGUCGAGGGGUAACGAGAGGGAAGCUUGCUUUCCUUGUCGACGACCGGCGCACGGGUGAGUAACGCGUAUCCAACCUGCCCCCAACUAGGGAAUAACCUUGCGAAAGUAAGACUAAUACCCUAUAAUUUCCUCAGAUGUCAUCUGACGAGGAAUAAAGAUUUAUCGGUUGUGGAUGGGGAUGCGUCUGAUUAGCUUGUUGGCGGGGUAACGGCCCACCAAGGCAACGAUCAGUAGGGGUUCUGAGAGGAAGGUCCCCCACAUUGGAACUGAGACACGGUCCAAACUCCUACGGGAGGCAGCAGUGAGGAAUAUUGGUCAAUGGGCGGAAGCCUGAACCAGCCAAGUAGCGUGCAGGAUGACGGACCUAUGGGUUGUAAACUGCUUUUAUACAGGAAUAAAGUUAGCCACGUGUGGUUAUUUGUAGGUACUGUAUGAAUAAGGACCGACUAAUUCCGUGCCAGCAGCCGCAGUAA
This 506-nucleotide ribosomal RNA is filed under the name uncultured bacterium. RNAcentral's name for it is "partial 16S ribosomal RNA". It matches the Rfam family "Bacterial small subunit ribosomal RNA", at positions 28 to 523 of the family's 1533-position model. The record is from RNAcentral.